UCAUAUAUCACCUGGUACCUUGUUAAAAUGCAGAGUCUGAUUCGGGGGCCUGGGUGGGGCCUGGGAUUCUGCGUUUCUAACAAUUUCUCAGGCUCAUGCUUCU
RNAcentral lists this microRNA precursor (103 nucleotides) under Marmota monax (woodchuck). The record is from RNAcentral. Lineage: Eukaryota; Metazoa; Chordata; Mammalia; Rodentia; Sciuridae.